This 279-nucleotide ribosomal RNA is filed under the name uncultured bacterium. Its description in RNAcentral is "partial 16S ribosomal RNA". It matches the Rfam family "Bacterial small subunit ribosomal RNA", at positions 506 to 784 of the family's 1533-position model. The record is from RNAcentral.
UGCCAGCAGCCGCGGUAAUACGAAGGGAACUAGCGUUGUUCGGAUUUACUGGGCGUAAAGAGCAUGUAGGCGGAUUGGACAGUUGGAGGUGAAAUCCCGGAGCUCAACUCCGGAACUGCCUUCAAUACUUCCAGUCUAGAAUCUGUAAGGGGGUGGUGGAAUUCCGAGUGUAGAGGUGAAAUUCGUAGAUAUUCGGAGGAACACCAGUGGCGAAGGCGACACCCUGGACCAAUACUGACACUGGGGUGCGAAAGCGUGGGGAGCAAACAGGAUUAGAUA